GGCUUUGAAACUUUCAGACAGGUAAGACUAUAUAUCAGAAAAGGUACAUGUGAAAAUUCAGGUAGCAAACAUUUAUUUUUCGAUGUUUAUUUGACAUUUUUGAUCGCUGUUGUGUGACAGUUUUGAUCGUUUUACACGGAGCUCCACCAUUCUAAGGAAAACGUUUGGAUGCAUAUACCUUUCUUAUUCUUUUAUUGGUUCAUAUUUAUAUAAAGAAUGUUUUAGCUAUCAAAACUUGAAGCAGAAACGUUAUAUAGGAACAUAAGAGUUCGUCAAAGUUUCCAUCAAGCAACUUGUUAUUUUGCAAAUGUCGGAGCACCGCUUGACAGUCUCCCGAAUGACCAAAUUAGUAGAAAACCGUACAGUUCCGUUCCCACACUGUG
This 383-nucleotide long non-coding RNA is filed under the name Mytilus galloprovincialis (Mediterranean mussel). Lineage: Eukaryota; Metazoa; Mollusca; Bivalvia; Mytilida; Mytilidae. The record is from RNAcentral.